UAGAUUUGGGUAUAUUAAAAAAAGUUGAAAACAAAGAACUGAAACUGGCACAACUGGAAGAAAGAAUUAAACUAUUGACGGAAAGAAAGGAUUUAGACGAUAAGAUCUUGAAAUUAGAAAAACAAGCCUCGCUCCUAGUUGAUAAAACAGAAAAAAACAAGAUGAAGCCGAUUGUAAAGGUGCCGCAGAACCAUGCCCCCAGUUACAAAAGAAAAGAAAGGAACAUAUGGAAGUCGUCAAAGAAUCUUCGUGGAAUGAUUUUAUGGCUUGGCGUCGGAGCCACCCUGGUCCGAAAACAACGCGGGCGUACCAUUUUUGGAUUAAAAAUGAUUGCAAAGACCUUCCAGGCUUUGUUUGGAAGAAACGAGGGAAUGAUUUUAUAAAGAAAAAGGGGGACAGAACGAUUAUUAAUAAUUAUUAUUAAUAUUUAGUAGUAACAAA
Hydra vulgaris (swiftwater hydra) is the source of this 441-nucleotide non-coding RNA. The record is from RefSeq and is a predicted model, not a curated record. NCBI's taxonomy places the organism in Eukaryota, Metazoa, Cnidaria, Hydrozoa, Anthoathecata, Hydridae.